RNAcentral lists this ribosomal RNA (442 nucleotides) under uncultured Sphingobacteriales bacterium. RNAcentral's name for it is "bacterial SSU rRNA". It matches the Rfam family "Bacterial small subunit ribosomal RNA", at positions 938 to 1382 of the family's 1533-position model. Lineage: Bacteria; Pseudomonadati; Bacteroidota; Sphingobacteriia; Sphingobacteriales. The record is from RNAcentral.
CAUGUGGUUUAAUUCGAUGAUACGCGAGGAACCUUACCUGGGCUUAAAUGGGGAGUGACAGCUGUCGAAAGAUGGUUUUCUUCGGACACUCUUCAAGGUGCUGCAUGGUUGUCGUCAGCUCGUGCCGUGAGGUGUCGGGUUAAGUCCCAUAACGAGCGCAACCCUUACCGUUAGUUACCAUCAGGUUAAGCUGGGGACUCUAGCGGGACUGCCACCGUAAGGUGAGAGGAAGGUGGGGAUGACGUCAAAUCAGCACGGCCCUUAUGUCCAGGGCUACACACGUGCUACAAUGGGCGGUACAAAGAGAAGCAACCUCGCGAGGGUGAGCAAAUCUCAAAAAGCCGUUCUCAGUUCGGAUUGAAGUCUGCAACUCGACUUCAUGAAGUCGGAAUCGCUAGUAAUCGCGGAUCAGCAUGCCGCGGUGAAUACGUUCCCGGGCCUU